CAUAAUCUAUAUAGAUCAGGGAUAAACGGGUUAUAAGUUUUGUACAAUUGGACCCAAAAGAGAAAGUUUAUCACCGAGCAUCACUAGAUACAUAGAUAAACGAUAGCUAGAUAAACGGAGAGGGGAGCCGAACAUCACCAUUUCCUCGCCUGCCCCUUCCCCUUGCGGUCACAGGAGUGGAGGUAGUACUCUUGCUUCUCCUUCGCGAGCCGUGUCGCUUUCGUCGCGGCCUCUUGCUUCUCCUUCGCGAGGCGCUCAGACUCUUUGAUGCUGAGCCGGAAUGCCUUCGUGUUCUUGCGGUGGAGGCGCCCCGCAUCUGUCUCCGCCGCGCUCAGCGACCGGCGGAGGAUCUCGCGCGGGAGCUGCUUCUACGUAUCGAUCGACGCGGAAAUCGCGUAGGUGCGGGAGGAACUGACCUCCUCUGCCCUCGGCGCGGCAUGCGGUGUGCGCCUUCAAUUUGGGUAUCCUCGUACGCGGGCACGAGCACCCGACGCCGGCUAGGAGGAGCUGUGGCCGGAGGGGUAGGGGAGGGGUGCGCCCGGAGACGGAUGUGCAGCAGCGUGAAGCAUGAAUGGCCGACGUGGUUGACUGCAUUGGGUCGCCAGACCACUGGGGACGACAUGGAGCUCAAGCUCCUGUCCCGGUCCAUCCGUGCCGUCGGAGGGCAAUGCAGACUGUGAGCUCCUCGUCGUUCAGGGCCUCGCUGCCGGAGCCGUCCUCUUUCAAUAGCCUGUACCAAUUGAUGGGAUCGGACUCGUUGCCGGAAUUGCUGCCGUAGUUUGGCAUGGUGGAGGGGAGGGGAGUGGAGGAGACGGGCAGUGGAAACGAAGCGGAGCGCUCGAGAAGAGUGGAUUUUAACUAGGGUUUGGUUCGGGGUGGGGUAUUUGUGGGAAACAGUGGGCCAGUGUGGCCCGUAUCUGACGUGGCAGACGCGUCCGGGCCUCCCCAUAUCUGCCCCACAUAUGGGCUGGGUUUGGGGGUGCCGGGUGGCCCAGACGUAUAGGGCCGGUUUGAGGGGUCAGGUUGGGUCGCAAAAAAGUGACCGGUCACUGACCGAGCCGUCCAGACGGGCAUAUAGGAGCAAUAUGAGGGAUCCGGCUGUAAAUGCUCUAACCUUGCUCUCUUCUGUGUUAUUUUUUCAGCUCCAUUGCAUGGAUUUGCAUUUUGGUUCGAUGUCGAGUUUAAUGGACCAGUUCGCCAGAAAUUCAAGAAGCAAGCAAGCCAACCCUUGGAUGUCAAUAUGCAAAAUUCCAACCCAAGCAAUAAAAAGAAAAAGGCAGAUGUCUCAAUUGUUCUGUCAACUGCCCCAGAGGACGCCCCUACUCACUGGCAGCAGACUCUCCUUUACUUAUUUGAACCUAUCGAGUUAAAGAAAGACCAAAUCAUGGAAGGUUCUGUUACCAUAUCUCAGAGCCAGCAACAUGCCCGGUUCCUUAACAUUUGCCUGAAAUAUUUUACUGGAGACCAAUGGUACGUUAAAGAAUCCGUGAUGCGAUAGCAUGGAAAACUUCCAUAGAACAAUAUUUUACUGACAGGUGCAAAUCUAUCAAUUCCUGUGCAUCAUGAACCUUAUCGGCCAUUGCAAUUUUGGAGCAUUCUGACUGAAGCGGGGCAUCAUGAUGGCAAAUUGAUCAACAUAUGCUGCCAUUUAGUUUUCAUUUGGAGAGCUGGAAUUUUGGACGUGGAGCAAUUCAUCCUGAACUCCCAACAAAAAUCCAUUACUCCAAAUCAGGCCUUAGAUUUGAAUUGUUCCUAGUCGAGUUUGGGUAGAUCAGUAGAAUGAAUGAAGCAUUGAAAAAUUCAAUAAUUACAUGCUGGCGAAGGUAGUAUAGGUUUUCCCUUAUGUUAACAGUACAGUUCGUCUUGGCCCAUCUGAUUAGUCGCCUUUUCUUACACUAGAUAGCAAUGCAGAUUGUUUCUGUUGUUUGUAACAACUGUAUUUUCCAACAUGACAUUCAUGCGGCCCUUGAGUGGUUGUAAUAACAGACUAAGAUUUUCCAUGCGGCUGUGAAAUAAUCAUCUGGCAGUGUCAACAUAUUA
Non-coding RNA from Triticum urartu, 2040 nucleotides. The record is from RefSeq and is a predicted model, not a curated record. Lineage: Eukaryota; Viridiplantae; Streptophyta; Magnoliopsida; Poales; Poaceae.